Molecule: long non-coding RNA, 838 nt
Organism: Oncorhynchus tshawytscha (Chinook salmon)
Lineage: Eukaryota; Metazoa; Chordata; Actinopteri; Salmoniformes; Salmonidae
Source: Ensembl
CUGGUAUUGUGGAUUGUAUUGGGGCUGGUAUUGUGGAUUGUAUUGGGGUUGGUAUUUGAGCUGGUAUUGGGGCUGGUAUUGUGGAUUGUUUUGGGGCUGGUAUUGUGGAUUGUUUUGGGGCUGGUAUUGGGCUGGUAUUGUGGAUUGUUUUGGGGCUGGUAUUGUGGAUUGUUUUGGGGCUGGUAUUGGGGCUGGUAUUGUGGAUUGUAUUGGGGCUGGUAUUGUGGAUUGUAUUGGGGCUGGAAUUGGGGUUGGUAUUGGGGCUGGUAUUGUGGAUUGUAUUGGGGCUGGUAUUGGGGCUGGUAUUGUGGAUUGUAUUUGGGCUGGUAUUGUGGAUUGUAUUGGGGCUGGUAUUGGGGCUGGUAUUGUGGAUUGUAUUUGGGCUGGUAUUGUGGAUUGUAUUGGGGCUGGUAUUUGGGCAGGUAUUGUGGAUUGUAUUUGGGCUGGUAUUGUGAAUUGUAUUGGGGCUGGUAUUGGGGCUGGUAUUUGAGCUGGUAUUGGGGCUGGUAUUGUGGAUUGUAUUGGGGCUGGUAUUGUGGAUUGUAUUGGGGCUGGUAUUGUGAAUUGUAUUGGGGCUGGUAUUGGGGCUGGUAUUGGGGCUGGUAUUGGGGCUGGUAUUUGAGCUGGUAUUGGGGCUGGUUUGUGGAUUGUUUUGGGGCUGGUAUUGUGGAUUGUUUUGGGGCUGGUAUUGGGGCUGGUAUUGUGGAUUGUAUUGGGGCUGGUAUUGUGGAUUGUAUUGGGGCUGGUAUUUGAGCUGGUAUUGGGGCUGGUAUUGUGGAUUGUAUUGGGGCUGGUAUUGUGGAUUGUAUUGGGGCUGGUAUUUGAGCUGGUAUUGGGG